This 2213-nucleotide long non-coding RNA is filed under the name Chinchilla lanigera (long-tailed chinchilla). RNAcentral's name for it is "lncRNA (ENSCLAG00000027198.1)". The record is from RNAcentral. Lineage: Eukaryota; Metazoa; Chordata; Mammalia; Rodentia; Chinchillidae.
CGGCUUCUGUUUUUGGUUUUAGAGGGGAGGAGGGUCGCCGUGGACUGCAGGAACAGCAGUAAAGUGGCUUUGCAGAGACGGGAUCACGGAUGCCAAAAGGCACCUGCUUCUCCGAGGCCUUUCCACUCGCGUGGAGAGGAGUCCGGUGUGGUGGAGACUCAAGGAGGCGAACGAAGGACUGAGCAGCGUGCGGAGGGGGCGUGGCCAGGUGGGCGUGGCCUAGGUCGGAGGGCGCGGCCGAGAGGGCGUGGCCGGGGCGCGGCGGACCCCCCCGGUGGGCGGAGCUUCGGUCGCCUGGCCUCAGCCUUGCGACCCGGUUGUGCAUCCGUGCCCGCUCCCUCGCGCGGACGCCGGGUCCCGGGUCUCUGGGUUUUCCUCAUAGCCAGUGUUAGUCUGGUGAAAGGCGGUAUCAGCUCUGUCGCUGGAGGAAAAGGUGAAGGGCGCGGGGUGGAGGCGGGGCACAGAGCUCUGCCCGAGCCACCUGGCGCGCGGCCAGGGCCAGGCCAGGACCGGACGCGGGGCCACGGGGACACCGCCGCCCACGAAUCCCUCCCCCUUUCUAACCCGGGUGAGGCGAUUCGCUUUACAAAGGCCACAGUACUGCAGGCGACUUCUGCAAAGCUGAACCAGUGGAAAGAUAAAGGCAAAUAUCGAACUUGCCCUUUGCUUGCCAAAUCAAUACCUUGAAUAAAGAAGGAUCCAGGUAGAGGGAAUUUGUCCCUAAGAACCUCAACAGCCGAGGCGGAAGUAAACGGUGGGAGUGGGAGGUGGCUUAUCCUGCUCAUCUUGCUGCGAAUCGACAGGGAUUCAGUUCGCGAGAGCUGGCCGAGUAGCUGGGAAAUGUCAAACAAGGCAGCAGGCGCUCAGACAAGCACAGCGCGUAACAGCCAGUAAUUCUCAGGUGUGAGCUGGAACACAAGGGCAGAGAAAAAAGAAAAAUACAGGGGAAAAGUUUAAAGCAUCGCAUUGGACUAAGGAGUGAAGAAGUCCUGAGCGACUUCAGUCCAGUUAUGACCAACUCCAGGGAGGAAGGGACAGUUGCUUGAAGCCAAAAUUGGGGAAUGCGUGUCUUAAAUGAUAAGCAUAUAAAGUGUGUUUUGUAAACUGAGGUAUCUCUCGUUUUUUGCAGCGUGUCUUCUUGGAGAACAAGGAAGUGGGGUUAAAAGAAGUCAACUCGGAUCUGUGUGACUUCAACCUGUGGGGCUCUGAGGGAAAAUUACCGACAUCUCAGAGCUUUUGCUUUCACCUGCUAAAUAGGGUUGUUUUGAAAAUUAAAUGAUAUAAAGUGCUUAUGUACACCUGGAGCAUAAUUCAUAGACAUAAUUGCCACUACUAAAAUUACUACUCAAAAUAAUAUUUCUGUAGAACUCAUGCUACAGUUUUAUUUAUUUAUUUAUUUAUUUAUUUUGGUACUGGGAAUUGAACUCAGGACUUUGCACUUGCCAGGCAGGCACUUGUGCCGCUGAGCUGUAGCUCAUGCUACAGCUUUAAUAAGCAGUCAACAAAUACUUUUUCCGAGUAGAGAAAAACCCCUAAUUCAUAAGUAACACUAACUCUUAUCACACAUUUCCUAUUUUAUCUGAAAGACAGUAAUUCAAAGACUAAGACAUCGGCAUUUUCUUAGUUCUGAUUUGUUCUAUGUCAGAAUAAUCAGACACACAAUCUUAAAUAUCUCAUGGCAUCUCUUGUAUGAGAAACCCAAAGUAUGAAGAAAUGAAGCAGCAAAAUAAAAGAUAGAUAAUAGGAAACAGGGAGAUCUUUUGCAAAUGGGAGAGGAACCAACAGAUAGAGAGAGGAGAGAGGGAAAGGAAGGGAGAGGAACACAGAAAGAAUUAAGAUGUAUUAUGUUCAUUUACCAACUCCCCACGAUGAAUGUUACCUUGAAGUACUGCAAGCAUGGAGUAAUAAAAAUAAAGAAUAAUAGAAAUUUUAUGUACCUUGGUAUAAGGGUGGUGGUUGCAAUUCUGUAAUUAAACUUACAAUGGAUGCAAAGAAAACAAUAGAAUGAAAACAGAGACAUUCACUAGACUACGUGGAAGAUCCCCUGUCAUACCACUGCACUUUCUUUGUUUUUUCGUGCCAGGGCUCAAACCCAGGGCCUUGAGCAUAGUAGACAAGGAAUCUACCACUGUACCACAUCCCCCAGCUCAGAUCCUUGUCCUUCUAAAUCCGUCUUUAAAAAAAAUAAAUCCAUUUUAAUUUCAGAUGUUUCC